GAUAGUCGUAUCUCUCGGUUCACCUUAGGGCCUUGGACGUCGCGUUUUCUUGAUGAACUUUGCUCGUAAAUCUGUUGAAAUUCUUACCAUAUCAAGUCAUGAACAUUGGGAACUAUUUCAUCAAAACUGUUGCACGUUUAAACGGGUGAUAAUCUGAAAGGCUUGGCCAAGUUUGUGUAAUAUCUAGUUAGGAGUACACCAACACAAGAAGUAUGAACCUUUGUUCAUUUCUGUUGUCACAUGGCCGGAAAGAAGUUCGAACUAAAAACUGCAGUGUUCAUCAACAAACGAUUUACUGUUGGGCCAUGCAUUUAGUAACACCAUAAUACCAGUGAAUUCUACGAAACUUCCGAAUACAGACUUUCUUAAAGCAAAGUACUUCGGUCGGUGUAAUCAUGUUACAAGUAUGGGUGGCUGCCGCACCCAGCUGAGCAGCCGGCACCCAGAACCAAGCACCCAGCCCCCGGCAGUAAGCUCCCAUCUAGCCGAGCUUUAAGAGGCAUCGAUGCUGUUUUGUUCAGUAAGAGGGAGGCCCUCAUGGGACAGUUGUUACCAGAUGGGAGUUAAUGAUCUAUGGAUAUGUGGUUUGUGGACGUAAACAUUGGAGUCUUCGCUUGAGUCAUCGCCGGAUUCAGCUUUGGGAUCUGAGGUCAUUUGGUUCAAUCAAGUCUUUGCAGCAAAGGUUAAGUAUCGGGUAAAGUAUUAGGUAAGGUUUACCAGGGCAGUUGUCAGAGAAAAAUACACUUUAAAAAUUCCAUACUAUUUACGGUGCUUUACCGUAGCUAUAGGGUGCCAAGUCAAGUGCAGUGGACAGUGGAAGUUUUGUAAGUAAGGGAUGGUUUGCAACACUUCCACUGUGAAAUUUACUGCACUUUACCUGACACCAUAGCUGCCAGGUAAAGCACCAUAGAUUAUACGGUUUUUGUUUACAGUGUAACUUUCUCCCCACCUAGUCUCUAACUGAAAGUUUCUCUAAUUUGUCCCUCCACAGGCCAGCUGAUACCUUGCUUUGUCGCUAAAGUUGAUGUUGUGAAAACCAAUCGAGUACAGAUGUCAGCUCUUGGACACCGUAGAUGACACCGUUUUGAGUAGUCUCUUGUCGAGUGGUGAGUACAACCCGGACCUGUUUAUAGCUUGGAUGAGAGCAUCGCUGGAAGGCAGCUGCAAGGAGAACAUACCUCGUGCUAAAGAAGAACUGUCAAGUCUGGCCAGGUGACUUUCUGCUACAAGUUCAACCAUUCAAGUGACGUAGCCCAUCCCAAACCAACGCUCUUUGGACAGGUGUAAUGAGUCAUCGAUCAACACACCACUUGCUUGAGCCGAUGACUUUGAAGAUGACUUUCACCCAACGUCGAUGUCAUCAACUGAAGAAGAACUGUACCAAGUCUGCUACCUGACUCUGACUCGCUACUUGUUGAGGCUAUAGCCAACCAUUGCUAUUUGAACUCGGUGCCACAAUCUGAAGAACUGUGUAUAUUAACCGACUCUCUGCUACAGUUUAAGUUCAAACGCUCAAUCAACAUGUUGAGGAUUAUAGCCAACCUACGCUUGUUAAAACAGUGUCACCAUCUGAUGAAGAAGAAACUCUUAUCAAGUCUAGCUACCAGACUCGCUGCUAUAAAGUUCAAACGCUCAAGUGACAUGUUGAGUCUAGCCAACCAUCGCUUGUUGAACUCGGUGUCAUCUGAAGAAGAACUGUGACACCGUUUAAGAUUUAAAGACAUUAAUCUAGCUACACCAUUUUCCUACCACCACACUGGAUGAACCAGGAUUGUAGAACCGUUUGACCUGUGGAAUUUCAUCAAGAAUGAAGACUGGUAGUUAGCUUCAAGCUUUUUAUCCUUUGAACGUAUAUCGUCGAAAGAAUAGCUAGCCCGCUAAUUUUGGAACACUGGUUCUGUAAAUAAAAACUCUAUACUUGUAUAUAUUUACCAUCGGAAGAUGGAAGCAAUUUAUUAAGUAUUUUUUGCCUUCCAUGAGAGUAAAGGCAGUUUUUGUAUUUAGUCAGUAAAAGCUAGGUUCGAUUGCAAUUUGGUACUUGCUGACAUAACACAUUUAAAAUUUGGGAGAAUAAUUUUCUUCUUCUUUGGUGAAGACAUUAAUUUUUGAUUUUGAGAUUGAGGGAGUUGUUUUAUUCUUCAGUUGUGAAAAGAAGUUGGGAUGAAAGUUUGCUAUUAAUUUGAGAUUAAAAGGGAGUUGUGUUAUUUUUUAGUUGUGAAAAGAAGUUGGGAAGAUUUUUUUCUAUUUGAGAUUAAGGGAGUUGUGUUAUUUUCCAGUUGUGAAAAGAAGUUGGGGAGAAAUUUUGCCAUGUGGGAUUAAGGGAGUUGUGCUAUUCUCCAGU
Molecule: long non-coding RNA, 2341 nt
Organism: Asterias rubens (European starfish)
Lineage: Eukaryota; Metazoa; Echinodermata; Asteroidea; Forcipulatida; Asteriidae
Exons: 6
Source: RefSeq, a predicted model, not a curated record